RNAcentral lists this ribosomal RNA (253 nucleotides) under uncultured bacterium. RNAcentral's name for it is "partial 16S ribosomal RNA". It matches the Rfam family "Bacterial small subunit ribosomal RNA", at positions 524 to 776 of the family's 1533-position model. The record is from RNAcentral.
UACAGAGGUCCCGAGCGUUGUUCGGAUUCAUUGGGCGUAAAGGGCGCGUAGGCGGCUUUGCAAGUGACGGGUGAAAUCCCUCGGCUUAACCGAGGAACUGCCUGUCAAACUGCAUGGCUUGAGACCGGGAGAGGUGAGUGGAAUUCCCAGUGUAGCGGUGAAAUGCGUAGAUAUUGGGAGGAACACCAGUGGCGAAGGCGGCUCACUGGACCGGUACUGACGCUGAUGCGCGAAAGCGUGGGGAGCAAACAGG